RNAcentral lists this ribosomal RNA (85 nucleotides) under Oceanobacillus bengalensis. Its description in RNAcentral is "Bacterial small subunit ribosomal RNA". It matches the Rfam family "Bacterial small subunit ribosomal RNA", at positions 1 to 84 of the family's 1533-position model. The record is from Rfam by way of RNAcentral. Lineage: Bacteria; Bacillati; Bacillota; Bacilli; Caryophanales; Bacillaceae.
UUUUUGGAGAGUUUGAUCUUGGCUCAGGACGAACGCUGGCGGCGUGCCUAAUACAUGCAAGUCGAGCGCGGGAAGCAAGUAAACA